GACGAACGCUGGCGGCGUGCUUAACACAUGCAAGUCGAACGGAAAGGCCCAGCUUGCUGGGUACUCGAGUGGCGAACGGGUGAGUAACACGUGGGUGACCUGCCUCAUACUCUGGGAUAAGCCUGGGAAACUGGGUCUAAUACUGGAUAGGACCUUUGGUUGCAUGACUUUAGGUGGAAAGCUUUUGCGGUAUGAGAUGGGCCCGCGGCCUAUCAGCUUGUUGGUGAGGUAAUGGCUUACCAAGGCGACGACGGGUAGCCGACCUGAGAGGGUGAUCGGCCACACUGGGACUGAGACACGGCCCAGACUCCUACGGGAGGCAGCAGUGGGGAAUAUUGCACAAUGGGCGCAAGCCUGAUGCAGCGACGCCGCGUGAGGGAUGACGGCCUUCGGGUUGUAAACCUCUUUCGCCAGGGACGAAGCGCAAGUGACGGUACCUGGUAAAGAAGCACCGGCCAACUACGUG
Molecule: ribosomal RNA, 466 nt
Filed under: uncultured bacterium
Lineage: Bacteria
Description: bacterial SSU rRNA
Rfam family: Bacterial small subunit ribosomal RNA
Source: RNAcentral